Molecule: ribosomal RNA, 500 nt
Filed under: uncultured bacterium
Lineage: Bacteria
Description: partial 16S ribosomal RNA
Rfam family: Bacterial small subunit ribosomal RNA
Source: RNAcentral
AUUGAACGCUGGCGGCAUGUCUUACACAUGCAAGUCGAACGGCAGCACGGGAGCAAUCCUGGUGGCGAGUGGCGAACGGGUGAGUAAUAUAUCGGAACGUGCCCAGUCGUGGGGGAUAACGCAGCGAAAGCUGUGCUAAUACCGCAUACGAUCUAUGGAUGAAAGCGGGGGAUCGCAAGACCUCGCGCGAUUGGAGCGGCCGAUAUCAGAUUAGCUAGUUGGUGGGGUAAAGGCCCACCAAGGCGACGAUCUGUAGCUGGUCUGAGAGGACGACCAGCCACACCGGAACUGAGACACGGUCCAGACUCCUACGGGAGGCAGCAGUGGGGAAUUUUGGACAAUGGGCGCAAGCCUGAUCCAGCAAUGCCGCGUGCAGGAUGAAGGCCUUCGGGUUGUAAACUGCUUUUGUACGGAGCGAAACGGUCUGCCCUAAUACGGUGGGCUAAUGACGGUACCGUAAGAAUAAGCACCGGCUAACUACGUGCCAGCCGCCGCCGUAA